RNAcentral lists this ribosomal RNA (497 nucleotides) under uncultured bacterium. Its description in RNAcentral is "partial 16S ribosomal RNA". It matches the Rfam family "Bacterial small subunit ribosomal RNA", at positions 28 to 507 of the family's 1533-position model. The record is from RNAcentral.
GAUGAACGCUGGCGGCGUGCCUAAUACAUGCAAGUCGAGCGAACAGAUGAGGAGCUUGCUCCUCUGACGUUAGCGGCGGACGGGUGAGUAACACGUGGAUAACCUACCUAUAAGACUGGGAUAACUUCGGGAAACCGGAGCUAAUACCGGAUAAUAUAUUGAACCGCAUGGUUCAAUAGUGAAAGACGGUUUUGCUGUCACUUAUAGAUGGAUCCGCGCCGCAUUAGCUAGUUGGUAAGGUAACGGCUUACCAAGGCAACGAUGCGUAGCCGACCUGAGAGGGGGGUCGGCCAAAAGGGAAAUGAGAAACGGUCCAGAACCAGACGGGAGGCAGCAGUAGGGAAUCGUCCGAAAUGGGCGAAAGCUUGACGGAGAAACGCCGCGUGAGUGAUGAAGGUCUUCGGAUCGUAAAACUCUGUUAUUAGGGAAGAACAAAGGUGUAAGUAACUAUGCACGUCUUGACGGUACCUAAUCAGAAAGCCACGGCUAACUACGUG